Homarus americanus (American lobster) is the source of this 398-nucleotide long non-coding RNA. RefSeq lists it as uncharacterized. The record is from RefSeq and is a predicted model, not a curated record. NCBI's taxonomy places the organism in Eukaryota, Metazoa, Arthropoda, Malacostraca, Decapoda, Nephropidae. The transcript is spliced from 3 exons.
UUCUUAAUUGUUAUUGUGUAUGUGCUUUUGUUUAAUUAAUUUUGACUUGUUUGUUGUAAAUUUUGAAGGUUGAUGCCUUUUAUUGCAGGUGUACGGAAGGCUUAUACUGUGGAAUAGAGAAGAGAACGUGGCCUAAGUUUGUAGGUGAUGUCUAGCGCGUCUACACUUGCGGUUGUUGUUGGAGGUGGAAGGAGCCGGUAUUUUUUUGAGGUAGACUAGGGGAAUAGUGAGGGUUGGGGUCUGGUGGUGGUCCUCGGUUCUCUAGUGCACCCUAAAGUGCCUAGAGACGGGCACGGGGAGACAUAAGUGAGGUGUAUAAACCUGUGAAAGGGCACUACUUAGUCGAGGAACCGUACCCAUAGCUGACUGACGCCCGCCUCACAAGGGGUCACAGCCGA